GAGGGUGAGGAAAGAGACUGUCCAAGUGGGCCGGUCAAGUAGUAAUUUCCUUUCCUUAGGACGUUAAGAAACAAUUCUUGGGAGUGCCCAUUAGUGAUAGUUAAAAAUUGAAUGAAGAUUUUGUCUUGUUAUAAGGUGUGUGUUUUACUUUGGAUCUAAAAAUGUAAGGAUGUCAUCCAAUCACAGAUGAGCUGUGGCAGAGGAGCGUCAAGCCUUGCGGUACGGUUGGCCACGUUACACAGUUCAGGGCAGCGACAGCAGCAGCAGCUACCUUGCAACCAUGAGACGGAAAAGUUUGAGAGCACAAGCCAACUCGCUAGGAUUGAAGGAGCCAAAAAUAGAAAGCAUCUGGGUCCCUGUUGGCAUUGAUGAGCAGCGGUACCACAGCCAGCUACUGUCUACUUUUUCCUCCCAAGAUUUUAUUACAAAAAUUUUUAAACAUACAGACAAGUUGAAAGAAUUGUACAGUGGACACCCAC
Molecule: long non-coding RNA, 479 nt
Filed under: Equus asinus (donkey)
Lineage: Eukaryota; Metazoa; Chordata; Mammalia; Perissodactyla; Equidae
Description: lncRNA (ENSEASG00005026149.1)
Source: RNAcentral